RNAcentral lists this ribosomal RNA (498 nucleotides) under uncultured bacterium. RNAcentral's name for it is "partial 16S ribosomal RNA". It matches the Rfam family "Bacterial small subunit ribosomal RNA", at positions 28 to 523 of the family's 1533-position model. The record is from RNAcentral.
GAUGAACGCUAGCGGCAGGCCUAAUACAUGCAAGUCGAGGGAGAAUGUUGGAUUCGUCUGACAUGAAACCGGCGCACGGGUGCGUAACGCGUAUGCAACCUACCUUUAACUGGGGUAUAGCUCAGAGAAAUCUGAAUUAAUCCCCCAUAAGACUACGACAUGGCAUCAUGAUGUAGUUAAAGCUCCGGCGGUUAAGGAUGGGCAUGCGGUACAUUAGCUAGUUGGUGAGGUAAUGGCUCACCAAGGCUACGAUGUAUAGGGGGUCUGAGAGGAUGAUCCCCCACACUGGGACUGAGACACGGACCAGACUCCUACGGGAGGCAGCAGUAGGGAAUAUUGGUCAAUGGACGCAAGUCUGAACCAGCCAUGCCGCGUGAAGGAUGAAGGCCCUAUGGGUCGUAAACUUCUUUUACUAGGGAAGAAAAAACGUGAUGCGUCCUGUACUGACGGUACUUAAUGAAUAAGGAUCGGCUAACUUCGUGCCAGCCGCCGCGGUAA